RNAcentral lists this RNase P RNA (200 nucleotides) under Gammaproteobacteria bacterium. RNAcentral's name for it is "partial RNase P RNA component class A". It matches the Rfam family "Bacterial RNase P class A", at positions 154 to 367 of the family's 367-position model. Rfam says of the family: Ribonuclease P (RNase P) is a ubiquitous endoribonuclease, found in archaea, bacteria and eukarya as well as chloroplasts and mitochondria. Its best characterised activity is the generation of mature 5'-ends of tRNAs by cleaving the 5'-leader elements of precursor-tRNAs. The record is from RNAcentral. Lineage: Bacteria; Pseudomonadati; Pseudomonadota; Gammaproteobacteria.
GUGAAAGGGUGCGGUAAGAGCGCACCGCGGGGUCUGGCAACAGCCCCGGCUAGGUGAACCCCGCCUGGAGCAAGGCCAAAUAGGGAUCCCAAGGCGUGGUCCGCGCCGGAUCCGGGUAGGCCGCUAGAGGCGAUCGGCGACGAUCGUCCCAGAUGAAUGGUUGCUCGCGACAGAACCCGGCUUAUCGACCGGCUCACCCG